This 434-nucleotide ribosomal RNA is filed under the name uncultured bacterium. RNAcentral describes it as "partial 16S ribosomal RNA". It matches the Rfam family "Bacterial small subunit ribosomal RNA", at positions 29 to 507 of the family's 1533-position model. The record is from RNAcentral.
AGCGAACGCUGGCGGCAGGCCUAACACAUGCAAGUCGAACGAACCUUUCGGGGUUAGUGGCGGACGGGUGAGUAACACGUGGGAACGUGCCUUUAGGUUCGGAAUAACUCAGGGAAACUUGUGCUAAUACCGAAUGUGCCCUUCGGGGGAAAGAUUUAUCGCCUUUAGAGCGGCCCGCGUCUGAUUAGCUAGUUGGUUGAGGUAAUGGCUCACCAAGGCGACGAUCAGUAGCUGGUCUGAGAGGAUCAUCAGCCACAUUGGGACUGAGACACGGCCCAAACUCCUACGGGAGGCAGCAGUGGGGAAUCUUGCGCAAUGGGCGAAAGCCUGACGCAGCCAUGCCGCGUGAAUGAUGAAGGUCUUAGGAUUGUAAAAUUCUUUCAACGGGGACGAUAAUGACGGUACCCGGAGAAGAAGCCCCGGCUAACUUCGUG